ACCUGGCUGGCUCAGUGGGUAGAGCAUGUGACUCUUGAUCUCGGGGUUGUGAGUUCAAGCCCCAUGUUGGGUG
Molecule: transfer RNA, 73 nt
Filed under: Ailuropoda melanoleuca (giant panda)
Lineage: Eukaryota; Metazoa; Chordata; Mammalia; Carnivora; Ursidae
Rfam family: tRNA
About the family: Transfer RNA (tRNA) molecules are approximately 80 nucleotides in length. Their secondary structure includes four short double-helical elements and three loops (D, anti-codon, and T loops).
Source: Rfam by way of RNAcentral